Molecule: transfer RNA, 72 nt
Filed under: Neotoma lepida (desert woodrat)
Lineage: Eukaryota; Metazoa; Chordata; Mammalia; Rodentia; Cricetidae
Rfam family: tRNA
About the family: Transfer RNA (tRNA) molecules are approximately 80 nucleotides in length. Their secondary structure includes four short double-helical elements and three loops (D, anti-codon, and T loops).
Source: Rfam by way of RNAcentral
GGGGGUGUGGCUCAGCUGGUAGAGUGCUUGCCUGGCAGGUAUGAAGCCUGGGUUUGGUCCCUAGCACCACCU